AUGUCCCAUUGUACCUUUGCCUUCAAGGUGAUCCUGCAAUUGGAGACGGUGUGACUCGUCAUGUUUUUGCAACAAUCAUGUCAAAACUCCAGCAUGGUUUUGAACUACAACUUGGUUAGUGACCUAUACAAUACAUGUUAUUUUUUCCCCGUUUUCUUAGGAUAACUUUAAAAGAAGUUUACAGAAAUUUGUUGGCAUUAACAGUUAACUACUUACCAUUGGCCUUAGGGUUGAUAUUUUAAAAGGUUUCUGCAUUUGUCUUUUGUAAUGCAUGUGUAGCGAAUCAGCUCAUGGGGAAAUAUGAAUAAUUAAUAAUAACUAGGAACUCUUCUUUUUGAGGGUGAAAAGGAUCACUUGAUUCCCUCAACAUCACAGAGUUUUCUGGAUAGUGACUUCUUUGUGGUGGCAGGCCGUAUGAUCGGGCACUCAUUCCUGCAUGGUGGUCCAUGCUUAACUGGUUUAAGCCCAGCAAUAAUCCACAUGCUUUUUGGCGGAUCCCCUGAAACAGCCACCAUAGAUAUACUGGACUGUGUGGACACUGAUGUCCGUCAAGUAAUAGAGAUGUUGAAAGGCACAGGUGAAUUAUCAGAGGAAGAAAAGAGGGCUAUUUCAGACCUUGCAGUGUCCUGGGAUUUGCCUGGUGUGACAUCAGAGAACAGAAGAUGGCUGCUUGACAAACUGCUCAUUCAUGCAGUCCUUGAAAGAACCUCCAAGCAAGUAAAGCAGCUACGGCGGGGUUUGAAGGAAACAUUGAUCUGGCCUUUGCUUUCUGAGAGGAAAGACACUAUUCCUCUUCUCUUUCCCAGGACUUGUGAUACAGUGUACACCCCACUAAUGAUUUUAGAGAGGAUAAUUUGGCCAACACAUGAUGAAGACAGCGAGGCCUCUCUUGAAGACACAUGUAGGCUCACCGGAUUCCUUCGCACCUUCAUCGGAAAUUCUUCUUAUAAUAUCUUGCGGUUUCUAAUAAAAUUCUGGACUAGAUGGGAUGUACUGCCCAGGAGCCUAGACGUUGAGGUGGUGGAUGGAAACCUACCCAAGUCUUCCACAUGCUAUCAAACUCUCAAGCUUCCUAGUCAUUACAAGGACUAUGCUGCCUUUGAGAGAUAUAUUUUAGCUGCUAUCUGGAGCUUAGAUUAUGGAUUUGGAAUGGUCUAAGUUUGUGUUACAAAUAAUAUCAGAUGCCAUAUUUCUACUGGAGGUAGUGUUUAAUUUUUCUAAAUUUUUCAUGUCUAAAUCGGAUAUUCAGUCAGAAGAUCUCAAACCUGUUUGGUAUGUUGCAGUGUUCAGAGCUUUGUAUUCGAUGCCAAAAUAACAUUUGAUAAGAAAUUUAAGAAUUUAUUUGCUUGGAUGUACUAAAAAGAUACUGUUCUAGACAUUUUAGCUUUAUUAAAUGGUUUGGAAGUAGUUUGAGCAACUAAGAAUAUUCACUGGAUGCAAGAGUUAUUAUUAACUGGCACUAAAUGUCAAAAUGCCCCACUUUUUUCUUCCUGGAAAGCCAGCCUGUGAAUUUUGUAAGCAAUUUUGACAUGUAUUCAGAACCUUGUUGUCAAAGUUACACCAAACUAAGCUUUGGUCAAAAGGUUAUUUGAAACAUUUAUUGACUUUGGUACAAGACUGUUCAAAGCCAUCAUUACACAAAUUCAAUAA
Molecule: long non-coding RNA, 1650 nt
Filed under: Sinocyclocheilus grahami
Lineage: Eukaryota; Metazoa; Chordata; Actinopteri; Cypriniformes; Cyprinidae
Description: lncRNA (ENSSGRG00000041298.1)
Source: RNAcentral